UACAGAGGGUGCGAGCGUUAAUCGGAAUUACUGGGCGUAAAGCGCGCGUAGGCGGUUUUGUAGGUCGGGUGUGAAAUCCCCAAGCUUAACUUGGGAACUGCAUUCGAGACUGCAUAGCUAGAGUAUGGGAGAGGGAAGUGGAAUUUCAGGUGUAGCGGUGAGAUGCGUAGAUAUCUGAAGGAACAUCAGUGGCGAAAGCGACUUCCUGGACCAAUACUGACGCUCAUGUGCGAAAGCGUGGGGAGCAAACAGG
Molecule: ribosomal RNA, 253 nt
Filed under: uncultured bacterium
Lineage: Bacteria
Description: partial 16S ribosomal RNA
Rfam family: Bacterial small subunit ribosomal RNA
Source: RNAcentral